GACGAACGCUGGCGGCGUGCUUAACACAUGCAAGUCGAACGGAAAGGCCCUGCUUUUGUGGGGUGCUCGAGUGGCGAACGGGUGAGUAACACGUGAGUAACCUGCCCUUGACUUUGGGAUAACUUCAGGAAACUGGGGCUAAUACCGGAUAGGAGCUCCUGCUGCAUGGUGGUGGUUGGAAAGUUUCGGCGGUUGGGGAUGGACUCGCGGCUUAUCAGCUUGUUGGUGGGGUAGUGGCUUACCAAGGCUUUGACGGGUAGCCGGCCUGGGAGGGUGACCGGCCACAUUGGGACUGAGAUACGGCCCAGACUGCUACGGGAGGCAGCAGUGGGGAAUAUUGCACAAUGGGCGGAAGCCUGAUGCAGCAACGCCGCGUGCGGGAUGACGGCCUUCGGGUUGUAAGCCGCUUUCGCCUGUGACGAAGCGUGAGUGACGGUAAUGGGUAAAGAAGCACCGGCUAACUACGUG
This 468-nucleotide ribosomal RNA is filed under the name uncultured bacterium. RNAcentral's name for it is "partial 16S ribosomal RNA". It matches the Rfam family "Bacterial small subunit ribosomal RNA", at positions 28 to 507 of the family's 1533-position model. The record is from RNAcentral.